Long non-coding RNA from Dermochelys coriacea (leatherback sea turtle), 812 nucleotides. RefSeq lists it as uncharacterized. The record is from RefSeq and is a predicted model, not a curated record. NCBI's taxonomy places the organism in Eukaryota, Metazoa, Chordata, Testudines, Dermochelyidae. The transcript is spliced from 2 exons.
AUAUGUAUUAUGCAUGCUGACUGAAGUAACAAUAUCUAGCUGAAGAAAAUAUAGCAGGCUCUUCACUGCUGUCAGAACCUGCACAUGUCUCUGUAGCAGUCUUCAACAGAAUUUCCAUUCAUUGCAAUGUAACCACAGGAUACACCAGAUCAAAUAUGGAUGUGAAAUAACAUCCACUAAGAUUGAAGACAUUUAAGUUAUCUGACUUAAAGAGACUGGAUGUCAUACAACUGCAUGAAGAAUAAAGAUAACAUAUAGUUCCAUACCUGGUCUGUUAAAAGUAUGGACACAGGAGAACAGAUCAACUGGAAGUACAAGUCAAACCUACAGAGCCAAAACUGGAUUGUCAUUGCAUGUAGUUGUGUGCUAAGAAACAUGCAGUGUGAAGAAGCAGCCUUGUUCUGGACCAUACAAACCAUCAGAGGUCGCUCUGCAGCAUUCCCGUGACAGGAACAAUGGAGAGGUGUAACAAGGCACAGCCUAAGAGCUGAGGGCAUGGGUCAAACAUUUAUGCACAUACAGUCCCCGACCUGCAAAUGACUUCAACUCUCAACCCUCUACACAAUUUCUCCCUGCUCUUUCACAGGGAGAGAGGACUGUGCCUUAGGAUGGCUGAAGUCAGAAUAUGGAUACAUGUAUCCUACAAAAGCAGCAUUAACAUGUGUCCAUCUAGAGGUAUAUCAGGCCUGUUUCAGGUACCAGACAGGACUUUACCAAUGGUACGAGAUGUCUAAAUGUUUUAAUGCAAUGGAAUGCCUUGAAGUUCUUCACAGGAAUUUCAUGAUUAAAUAAAAUUAGAAAUAGAUUUAUAA